This is a non-coding RNA of Oryctolagus cuniculus (rabbit), 2087 nucleotides long. Lineage: Eukaryota; Metazoa; Chordata; Mammalia; Lagomorpha; Leporidae. The record is from RefSeq and is a predicted model, not a curated record.
UACCAAGACACCAGAUGCAGAGCUGGGUGAGAAUGUCUUGGACAAGCAGGGACCACCGUUGUUAGCGCAGAGCCCACCCUGGGGGAUGUGGCUGGGGAGGGCUUCUGGGGAGGUCUUUCAGAACCAAAGGGCUAUAGAUUGUGUCUGUCCCCUAGUAGGCAAGGGAGGGCUCUGAUGUCACAAUGGGCUGUCAGCCACAGAAGCCUGGGCACACUGUGGCCAGUGCGGGGAGCCUACUUGGGACUGAAGCUUACGGUGCCCCUGCUGCCUGGGGGUGUGGUGGAUGUGUGCGUGCUGGGUGUGUCCCAGGCCGGUUGUGCUCCCAGUAGGGUCUGCCCAGCUUCAGCAGAGCCAGGAGCCUUUUCCCCAGGCCCUGACCACGUGUUUGCCCUCCUGGUGGGCAGUAUCUCCUCGGGCACCGUUGCUGCCCCCAGGAUUCAGGCACCACGCCUGGCUCUGUCAGGAGCGGGAACCCCGGCUGCUCUGCAGUGCUUGCGUUGCUGGCCAGGAAGCUGGGCGGUCAGGUGCAGCCAAUGCCCUCUCCACUCAGGACAUUUUCGACUUGUGAUUGCUCUGUCUGGAUGAGACCAUCGUAAGCUGAGGAUCCUCUAUAAAGCUGCUGACAAUUUUGAUACCACGAACUGUGACAUAGGCUCCGAUCCACUUUGGGAACUCUGAGAUUUACUCUGUAGAGAAGAGGAUUCACCCUGUCUGUUCUUCCCUACAAUGAUAGACCAACAUCCACUAGAGUAACCUUGCAAAUCUAGCAUAAGGCAAGCGAGUUUUCCAACAAAGACCAAAGUAAAGAAGGAGAACUUGGGGAAGUCCUCCUCGCAGAUGGGGUAGGAGAAGUUCAGAACAGACACGCCUUUGGAGACGAGAGUUACGUCCAGAAACAGCUGUCGGAUGUCUUCUCCUGCAGGAAAGAGAGAAGCAGCUGUACUCUGAGCGCACGCCACGCUGCAGCUACCAGCAGUCAACCACGAGCCAAAAAUGGUGAUGGAAAAUUCCACAAAGAAACAGGUAACAGGUUCAAAUUGCACACCAUUCGGAGGGGUACGAUGAAAUCCUGCACUGACCUCCCCUGUCCUGCCCUGCGUCCAGCGUCCUCACACGGGCGCUCUACCUGCUUGCUCAUCGCCCAGCAUUCACCGUGGGCAUCAGAUCCACCGUUGUGCAUGGCAGCACUCAUGUUCCAAUAACCCGACUUUUACUUCAUGAUGACCCCGAAGUGCGAGAGCACUUCAGACACGCCAGAGAGAAGCUGAAAGGGCUUCCUUGAAGUGACACGUGCAGGUGCAGUAAGAUGCUUUGAGAAAGUGUACAUUCAUAUAAGCGUCAUUACAAUAUACUGUUAUAAUCACUAUUUGAUUACUGUUGCUAAUCUCUUACUAUGUGUAACUGAUACAUUAUACUUUAUCAUAGGCACAUAUGUUUAGGAAAGAACACAGCAUGUGUGGGACUUGCUACUGUCUGUUUUGGGGCAUCUUCUGGCAGUCUUGGAAGUUGUCCCCCACAGGUUGGUGGGACAGCAGAAACCAUGUGACCUGAAGUGGCAGUGAAGACGAGCUCUUGUCCAAAGUGCCUUGCCAAUGCCUCCACAGAAAUGAUGGCCCACUUGAGGCAGUUACACUUGAUGCUUAGUGUCUUGGGAACACAUCAGCAAGGGACACCAGGUCCAUGAUCUUACUGUCUGCUGCCAGGGGUCUCCAGGAUUCCACAUGGCACAGAGGGCACACUAGAGGCUGUCUGUGGGAGACAGUGCGUCUUAGUGGCUUGAGGACAGGAAGAGCACCUACUCCCUCACUCACUUUACUGAGUACCUGCCAUGUGGUAGGAAGAGGGUUGGGCCUGGUCAGCAACAAGGAAGCAAAAUCAGAAAGUGCCUCUGCUCUCAUCCUUGUUCUAACAGGUCGAGCGUCUUUUUUGAAUUAAUCAAAAGCCCAGAAACUGCCAUGCUGCAAAGUCUGAAACUGAGCACCAACACGAUGUCACAAGUGGCCAUUUCACAUCAUGGAGCUUUGUUUCAUGCACAACAUUAUUAAGACUAUUAUAUAAAAUUGCCCUCGGGGUAUGCGUAUAAGGCA